RNAcentral lists this ribosomal RNA (492 nucleotides) under uncultured bacterium. RNAcentral's name for it is "partial 16S ribosomal RNA". It matches the Rfam family "Bacterial small subunit ribosomal RNA", at positions 29 to 507 of the family's 1533-position model. The record is from RNAcentral.
AGUGAACGCUGGCGGUAGGCCUAACACAUGCAAGUCGAACGGCAGCACAGUAAGAGCUUGCUCUUACGGGUGGCGAGUGGCGGACGGGUGAGGAAUACAUCGGAAUCUACUUUUUCGUGGGGGAUAACGUAGGGAAACUUACGCUAAUACCGCAUACGACCUACGGGUGAAAGCAGGGGAUCUUCGGACCUUGCGCGAUUGAAUAAGCCGAUGUCGGAUUAGCUAGUUGGCGGGGUAAAGGCCCACCAAGGCGACGAUCCGUAGCUGGUCUGAGAGGAUGAUCAGCCACACUGGAACUGAGACACGGUCCAGACUCCUACGGGAGGCAGCAGUGGGGAAUAUUGGACAAUGGGCGCAAGCCUGAUCCAGCCAUACCGCGUUGGUGAAGAAGGCCUUCGGGCUGUAAAGCCCUUUUGUUGGGAAAGAAAAGCAGCAGGUUAAUACCCCGCUGUUCUGACGGUACCCAAAGAAUAAGCACCGGCUAACUUCGUG